This 127-nucleotide transfer RNA is filed under the name Yersinia enterocolitica. RNAcentral describes it as "tRNA-Met". It matches the Rfam family "tRNA". Rfam says of the family: Transfer RNA (tRNA) molecules are approximately 80 nucleotides in length. The record is from RNAcentral. RNAcentral also lists the same sequence under 1 other name. Lineage: Bacteria; Pseudomonadati; Pseudomonadota; Gammaproteobacteria; Enterobacterales; Yersiniaceae.
UGUGGUGUAGCUCAACUGGAUAGAGCGCCCUCAGCAGAGGGAGGUGAGCACUAAUCAAGGUUCAUAACCCAGAUUAUCUUACGCGGUCCGGCCGGACGAUAUGCAGGUUCGAACCCUGCCACCACAU